Aedes albopictus (Asian tiger mosquito) is the source of this 9669-nucleotide RNA transcript. It is a transcript of the gene named serine-rich adhesin for platelets, with no coding region annotated. The transcript has 16 exons. NCBI's taxonomy places the organism in Eukaryota, Metazoa, Arthropoda, Insecta, Diptera, Culicidae. The record is from RefSeq and is a predicted model, not a curated record.
GAACCAUAACAUGUUACAUUCUGAACUCAUAACAUUUGGAACGACUUCAGCGAGCGAAGAAACAUGUGAGUGGUGAAUUUGCGUUUUCUAACGCGAACGGAGUGAACGCAUGGUGUUUCUUCAGCACAAUACAUACUACUACCCAGAUCAAGCCGUGAUCGCACCCCUGCUGAAGAAGCACGAGCAGUGCGCUUUUAGUUGCUGCAACUUUGUUUUCCGCGUGGUGAAUGUGCGUGAGUGAUUUUUCUCAGCCGACUCGAAGCGACGGUAUCAGUUUUAUCCGAACGACACAGGGAAAAAGACAUCGAUCAUCAUCUGCUACAACGAAACGAAUUUUGUGAAGUUUUUUUUUUAGUUUCAAUCUGUUCCACUCGAAGUUGAAGAAUUUCAAUUUCCUCCACAGAGCAAACAAGGAGGCAGUUUCAACCACCAGCGGCACCGCCACAGUAGUGAAACCACUAUGGCCCACUAAAUUUAGUCUGGAGAGUAAUGAAAAUGGAGAAAAAAGAUGCUGGUGAUGCAACAAGUGGUAGUGUAGUUUGAGUGAAAAUAGUUGUAACACAUUCUAGAGUUGUGCAUAAAGAAAAGAGGAAAAAAGAGGAAAUCUGCGCUCAAGUGCGCUGUGAAAAGAAGAGGAAAAAAGUUGUGCCAGUGGCAUUUCUCAUACCGCCAGCCGGCGAUUGGUGAUAAAGUUUGCAUUUUUGCUGAAUCCGUCGAAGGAAAAUUUGCAACCUUGUCGCAAAGUGCGAUUGUUCAUCCGGUGUUCAACGAAGCGACAAGGACAUCCGAGCGAAGAACGAGGAGGAAUCUGUGGCGAUGUCGUCAUAUCGCAGUAACUACAGUUAUUCCUGGAAGUCAAGCUACUACCCAACGUCUUCGUCGUCUAGUUCCUCUUAUGGAAGCAGUAGAUUCUCGACCGAACCAACGAGUUCCCGGUUCAGUUCGCUGAAUUCUGCCAGUAGUAGCAGUUACCGACCGUCGUUUACCUCUGGUAGCUACCGUGCCCCGCGCACGUCAUCGAAUGUGUCGACAUACAUCAGUCGGUAUUCAAGUUUGGCAGCCGAUAAGGAUAAGGAAAAAGAACGCGAAAAGGCGAAAGAGGAAGAGCGAAAAAGAGAGCGAGAACGUGAGCAACGAGAGAAGGAAAGAGAAAAGGAGAGAGAUCGAGAGAAAGAGCGCCUGAUUGAGACAUCGAAAAAGUUGGAAGCCGAGCUCGAGAAAGACAAGCCCAAGCUGAUUAAGAAGUCUGCGCUGAUCGCUGCGAAAUAUGGAGAACGACAAACCGAUGCUGAUGAUGCGUCAAAAACAGGUACCAAAGCGUCCGCUCUUAAGCCUAAGAAAGAGAAUGCACCACCAGUUACUUUUACAACUCGCUAUGGCAGGGCAGGAGUGGCUAGAGAGAAAUCAAGGGAGCCUAGCCCUGCAACCAGGGUGAACUCUUCUUCAAACCUGAAUGUUAACCGGUCCAGAGCUAGUGAUCCAAGUCCUGCUGGCGGGACAGUAGCAAGUAAAAUCAGAUCAAGAGACCCAAGUCCGGCCGUGGAGAGUAAACGUCCAACUGGUUAUGCAGCGACCAUUGCCAACAAAUUUACUGCCAAGGAAAAUGGAAACCAAGUACCGGUUAAAGAAUACAAGAGGCAAACAUCCAACACGUUAAGUAGCUUUUUCCAAAAUAGAGCGCGUUCUAGAGACCCCAGCCCCACGGUGCGCACACAAACUUCCCGGGAAACUAGUCCUGUGGAAGCUAGGAAGGUAGUGGCAAAGUCGUUCACUGGUAGAUCUAGAGAUCCCAGUCCCGCAACUCCCAGAAUCAAUGUAACAAACGCAAAGACAAUGCCUUCUGCAGCGCAUCGUUCCAGAGACCCCAGCCCAGCUGAACCGAAAAAGUUCUCCAGUAGCAUUUCAAUAAAAACUGGUCUACGCUCAAGGGAUCCAAGUCCCGCUGCUGAGGUGAAGAAAAUACCCACAUUUGGUACGAAUAAGAUAAGGUCCAGAGAUCCUAGUCCCGCGACUACCAGACCAGCGCCAUUUUCAAGUACUGCCGCUAGACAAAGAAUGCAAGAGGCUGGAUCUGCUGUAGCGAAGCAAUCCCCUGCGUACACUAGAUCUUUAACCACUAGAGAAAAACCAACGGAAAAUCUAACACUGACAGUGCCAACACAAAGAAAAAGGGAUCCUAGUCCCAGUGUUUCCAAUAUUAGAAGCCGUGACCCUAGUCCAGCUAUGCAUUCGACCACAGCCAGGAGACCUUCCCGGGAGCCUAGUCCAGCAGAAUCCAUUCGAGAAAAGUAUGGUCUCAGCACUAGCUCUUAUCGACCUUACGGUAGAAGCAAUUCUAGUCUUGCAAGUACACAGUCUCGAAUUGCGAUGAGUUCAAGCCCGGUGCCAUCUAGCCCAAUUGGUGGUGUAGCACUUUCGUACAUGACCUCCAGUGAAGCAAUUGCAUCGCGGACCAGUCGACCAUCGUCGAGGCUGUUGAACUCCCAAUCGAGAGAAACUUCACAAUGCCCUUCACCGCUGUUGAUACGAAGUCAGAUAUUUUCUCCGGAACCAGUAUUGAUUGUUGAAGAUGAGAAAAAGCCAGAAGAAGAAGAUGAAAGUUCGUCGUCCUCUGACAGCUCAUCGGAAGAAGAAACAUCUGAAGAAACUGAAAGCAGUGUGGAACCGGAACCAAAGAUCUUGAUCGAAAUAACGUUGGUUACGCGAGGAACGUCACCGACACCUCCUGGAUCUACACCGUACAUUAGAGCAAGGCGUGCAGAAAUGUGUAAAACUAUCGAAAAGACUAUUCAAAAGCAGUUGCUUAUCGUGGAAACAGCGGACAAGGCGGUUCAGUCAGACAGAAUGGAUGACUCUACCAAGUAUCUGAGAUACACUCAGUCGACUACAAGAAAUUGGUCACCAUUCCUAGACAAGUUCAGUUCCAGCGCUUCUUCCGGUUAUACCAGAUAUUCCAGCGCUUCGUCGCGAUACAGUCGUGACAGUUCAAGCCAAAGCCGAGAAACCAGUGUCGUGUCUCCAAGAAGUGACGUUCCGGAAAAGAAAGAGAUAUCGACGCUGGCAGCCCGAGUGAAAGAAAUGAGUUUAUCCAAAUCGGCCAGUCCAAAGAGCAAUCCGCCCAGCAGAUCAACCACGAGUACACCUUCCAUGAAACAAAAGACACCACCCAAACAGAAGUCACCUGAGAAACCACCGCCAGUUCCAAUGAAAGAUGGGUCCCCGACAAAAUCGGCAGUGAACUCAUCGAACACUAAAAUCAACAAAGAUUUCCGAAAAUCUGCGCUCAACAUGGGACCAGCACCCGAUCGCCCUCGCAAGGGAUCAACGUCCUCAAGCAAAUCGACAUCCUCGACGUCUUCGUCCUCAACGGCAACUCAAACGGCCGACGGCAUAUCUCAGAAUGGCGUCAGUCGGAUACCGCAAGCAACGCGAGCCAGCGCCAGCCCAUGUCGACGUUCUGAUCGCUCUUCAUCGACUAGCUCAGACCUAAGCACGGCAACCUCUUCGUCCACUUCGGAUGGAGACGGUCAACUGAAUCAGUCGGAAGGCAAUGCAGUCACCGAUUCAUCCAAUGCCAACAACGAACUGUUGAUGAGAGCGAUUCAGCUGGCGACGAACUUUGUGAACAACAACAACCGAAAUCACACCAGUUGGUACGACAACAACAGUACGACUAGUAUGUCGGAAAGUUUGAAUCAAGAUUCGGCGUCCAAGUCCGGCUGGGAAGCUGGAACGCAUUACAUGGAGAGUAUCAAGGAUGACGAUUCCACUGAGGAGGAAGAGGAAGAGGAUGAGACCGACUGUGCACAGAAGUCUGACCUUCAACGGGCUUCGUGGUGGAAUCCUCCCGGGAAACAAGAACCGGAGGCUUCGACGAAGAGCUACGUCUACAAGAUCAGACCUGUGCAAUCCGGUGAGAAAGCUUGGUGGAUGGUCGAUGAGAGUGAGAAGGGGAAAGACAAUGUGGAGUCUAAACAGAUGACCAAUGGCAGUCUAGCAGUGGCAGAUAGUGAUAGUAAUAAUAAGGCCUACAGCCCAUUCAGACCCAUUCAGAUCUCCCGGGUUGAAUCCGGAGAUAAACCAUGGUGGUUGAAAGACGACUCUAAAACAAGUAAUGGAAACGGUCGGGCGGAAACACAGGAGGAUGACGAUGAUGAUGAUGAAGAUAUGAACAGGAGUCAAAAAUCUGGAAGCAUCUUCAGUAAGGCCAGCAGUCAACCAUUCAGACCGAUAAAAGUUACUCGAAUAGAAUCGGGCGAGAAGGCCUGGUGGAUGAUGAGCACUGAUAAUGUUGCUGCUAAGGCAAAGGAAUCUUCCAGCGAGUCAAGUAAAGAAGCAUCUAAGGAAACCAGUCCAGAGAAAAAGAACCCAGGAUAUACAGUGUAUACAUUGGAAGCUGAAGAUGAAGCGUGGUGGCGUGAAGCAAUGGGAGAUUUAGAUAAAAAAGAUAAAUCGAGCUCCAGUACGAGCACUACUAGUAGCAGCAAAGCUACUUCUAAAGAACCUACGCCAGAACCAAAACAGCAAAUCAUAAUCACCAGGGCGGAAUCGGGAGAGAAAGCUUGGUGGAUGCUGAGCUCAGAUAAAGUUAAUGAUGCAGCAACAGCAGCAAUAGCCCCUAGUAGUGAUGGUUCGGUCAGAGAGUGCAGUCCUGUUAAGGCAAAGCCGUUCAAGAUUACCAGAAUAGAAUCGGGCGAAGCACCUUGGUGGAUGACUGAGACUGAAAACAACCUGUCAAGAUCCAGUUCCAAGCCCAACGUAGUGAGUCGAUCGAACAGUUUCAAUUCUAACAAACAAACAAGUCCAACCAAGUACAAAAUAACGAGAGUCGAAUCGGGAGAAAAGGCUUGGUGGGUGGAAAAUUCCGAUGAUAAAAGCGGAAGUCCGAGAAAACUAUCCUCCUUUAUCGAAACACAUGGCGAAGAGGAAAAUCACCAAACAGAACUUGGUGACGAUUUGGACGAAGAGAUUCGAAACAUCAGUAAACUUGUAGCUGGUCUACCGGAAUUUCCCACGGGCAACACUAUCAUCGAAGUGAUCGAGACAUCGGAUACUCCUCUAGGCGAUCGUGCCAGUCCGGAAGGCGUUGAAGACACCAAAAUCGAAUCCGACCGGCUGUCCCCUUACGAUAACAUUCCCACAGCCACGACAAACACCGCCAAUCUGGAGUCAAAAACCUACAACAAGACAGAUCUGGAUCGCAAGGGAGUGACCCAGCCGACGGUCUUCAUUUCGCGUCAUACCAACAUCGACGAUCUGCUGGGCGGAUCUUGUCAUCCGCUGAGCCCCAUGAUGGACCGUAUGUUUGUGAUGGACGAUCUGCAGGAAAUUUCACCACAUGACGUGCGGGUGCACGACGCCACGGCGCAGUUCAUUUAUGGCAACAGAUCUACCGCUGAUGGGGAUCGUUCAGCGAGUGGUGAUCUGAUGCAGAAAGCCGGGCUGGACGAUGCAGCGCUGCAAGUGUACAAAGACGGCGACCUCGGGGCCUAUCUGGAUUUGGAAUCAUCGCUGGCCGAGCAGUCCGAGGACAUCGAGGGGCUGAAUGCAAAUCGCAAAAACUCCCUUGUCGUACGAACACAACUCAGCGUUCGGGUACACUCAAUCAUAGAAAAACUUCUAUCCUCCGAGGGACGUGAACUGCGGAGGGCACUGUUUUCCCUUAAGCAGAUCUUCCAGGAAGACAAGGACCUGGUGCAUGGCUUCGUGGCACUCGGGGGGCUCAAUUGCCUGGUGCAAAUCGGCAACGAAGCGGAUCAGAACUACCAAAACUACAUCCUGCGGGCGCUGGGACAGGUGAUGCUGUAUGUGGACGGUAUGAAUGGGGUGAUGAAACAUUCGCCUACGAUCCAGUGGCUGUACUCGCUGAUUGCGUCCAAGUAUCGGCUGGUGGUGAAGACGGCAUUGAAGCUGCUGUUGGUUUUCGUGGAGUAUUGCGAAGGGAACUGCUACCUGAUGGUCAGCGGGAUUCGCUUCGUGGACACAGCGCGGGGAGUAGUGCCCUGGAAUAAUAUAAUGAGACUGCUAAAAGACUACGAAAACGCCGAUACGGAGCUGCUCAUCUAUGCAACUUCGCUCAUCAACAAAACCCUGUCGGGCCUCAGCGACCAGGAUACGUUCUACGACGAAAGCGACUUCCUCGAACAGCAGGGUAUGGAAGGUAUCAUCCAACGGUACAUGUCCCGCCCUGGCACGGAUCUCGAUCUUCUUGAUCAACUACAGCUUUACGAAACGGUGUUACGGUUCGAAGACGGCGAAACCGAUGGCAUCCGUAUCCCCGACAACACCGUUCGGAAAACUCUUCGAUAUCGAUCGAACGACACCAGUGAUAGACGGAAGUCACGGCGGCACAGUACCGGCACUGCGCCGUCAAUGCAGCCACCUCCAGUUCCUCCUCCGCCGCCACCAUCCGCGCUUCUUGGAUUGCCUCCGAGUAUUCCACCACCACCUCCUCCACCGCUACCACCACCGGUGGCACCAGUCACUUUGUACGGUUCCUUAAAGAUACCAACUCAGCAAAAUCAAGACGAAGACAGCUCCAGUUCGGCCAACUCUGGUGAUCAUGUUCACACCGGCGGUGGCUACCAUGACGACUCUCGAGACACAACCGGCGUAACUCCAGGUCUUCGAAGGAGGCGCGAACGAGCCGAGCGACAGAAGAGUUUUAUGCGAGAACAGCAAGAACUUACUCAGUUCAAAGCUCAGGAAGACACAAAUGGUCACGGUUAUAUUCUAACCCAAACGGCUGCUCCUGUGCCAGUGCGACUCCGGAAUGGACUUGAGCCUCGCACUACACGACUGAGCAGCUAUCCACCGCAGCAGCAGCAUCAACAACAGCCUCAAAUCCAACACGCCACGAUCAACGAGUACGAGCCUCCAUCGACGCGGGUGUCCAAUCUAACUCAAUCUGUGAUCUAUAAUCAUAAACAUAGUUCCACUACUAAUAGUAACCUUAGCAAUACCAAUGAUCUCGGAGUCUCGAAGGGAUCGUCGAUUUCCAACGGCGUGGGGCACGAUCCGGUGGAGUAUAGGAAUAAUAGGAAUUUGCUGUUGAACAAGCAUAACGGAGUAAGUAAUGGGAUCUACAAUGGCUCCAAGAUGGACCUCAAUGGGAACGUGCCGAAUGGCAGAGUUGCCAGCCCCAAGGAGUUGGAUGAGAACGAGAGUCCGAAUAUCAAGAAGAACGGAAACUACGGGGAGAUCAACGGGUAUGGCUAUACCAACGGGUACCAUCUGAAUGGUUAUAAGCAGCAGAAUGGGAAGGAAGACCAUCGGAAGAGUAACGGGUAUGUCAAUGACAAUGUGACGACCAAUGGAAACCACACGGAACCGAACGGGAAGCAGGAUCCUACGCAAGUUGAGUCGGACAGCGAGGAAAAGAAGCUAAUAAUCCAGCUGAAGAAGGAUCACACGGUCAAAGACCUGACCCAGAAGCUGUCGAACCUGCCGCUGAGCCCCCAGGAGGACAAACCCCAGAACCGGAUCGGCGACAUGUCCGGCUUGAUUUCCAAAGCCAAAGAAGGACUGGCCAAGAGCAAGAGCAACAAGGACAUCUCCCGGUCGCCGAGCGUCGACAGCGACAUCAAAAAGCUGGGCGGCGAGCAGAAAAAGUCCGAAAACGAACUGCACUGGGAGGAGAUUGUGAAGAACAUGACCCGGAAGCUGAAUCUGUGCGACCUGGACUUUACCGAUCUCACGUCCGACGACGAUAAGGAUGUGCUUGCGCCGCGGGGAUUCGGCGGAGCGGUUCCACCUCCACCGCCGCCGGGAGGGCUGAUGCCCCCGAUGAUGGGUGUAAUGCCACCGCCACCGAGCAUGAUGAUGCGGCCGCCGCCGACCAACCUGAUGGCACCGAUGUUCCCCAACGGCGGAGGACUGGCGAAUCCGGCAGCCAUGACCAAUGGCGGCGGCGACACAAUCAAGAAGAACAAAAAGACUGUAAAACUUUUCUGGAAGGAAGUUCGCGAGGAUAUGAUUCCGGCGUCGAUACAGCGCACCAUUUGGGACGAGCUGCCGGAGGCCACCGUGGACACCCAGAAGCUGGAGCAUUUGUUCGAAUCCAGAGCCAAAGAUCUGAUGACAAAGAAACAACAAGAACUCAACAAAAACAAAGAAAUCAUCGUGUUGGAUCACAAGCGAUCAAACGCGAUCAACAUCGCUAUGACCAAGUUGCCUCCACCACGUGCUAUCAAGGCAGCGAUCCUGAAGAUGGAUUCGACAGUCGUGACACGUGAGGGUAUCGAGAAGCUCCUAAACAUGCUCCCGAGCGACGAAGAGCGAUGUAAGAUCCAGGAAGCUCAGAUGGUCAAUCCAGAACUACCCUUGGGAACUGCUGAGCAGUUCCUGUUGACACUGUCGUCCAUCUCGGAACUGGGCGCCCGUCUCAAACUGUGGGCCUUCAAGCUAGACUUUGAGAACAUCGAAAAGGAGAUAGCCGAACCGCUGAUGGAUCUUAAGCAAGGUGUUGAACUGCUCAAAGCGAACCUUACGUUCAAGUGCAUCUUAUCCACGUUGCUGAAGAUCGGCAUCUUCUUGAACGGGGCCCCAGUCAAAGGUUUCCAAAUCGACUACCUUGCGAAAGUUCCCGAGGUUAAGGACACAGUUCACAAGCACUCGCUUCUGCACCAUCUGUGCCACAUGGUAAUGGAAACGCAGGCCAACACAACCGAUCUGUACUCGGAGAUAGGCCCGAUCACCCGUGCAUCGAAGGCCGACUUUGGCGAGCUGGCUCACAACAUCACCUACCUGGAAACGGAGUGCAAAGCGUCAUGGGACAGGCUGAAACUAAUCAGCAAACACGACACGGCACCUCACCUGAAGCAGAAGUUGAUCGACUUCCUGGCGGAUUGUGCCGAACGAAUCAUCAUUCUCAGUAUAGUACACCGGAGGGUUCUCAACAGGUAUCGAAAGUUCCUGCAGUGGUUGGGAGUUCCCCAGCACCGGAUAGCCGAAUCCCGACCGAACGAGUUCUGUCGGAUCGUAUCGGAGUUCGCACUAGAAUACCGCACCACUCGGGAACGUGUCCAGCAGCAGAUCGAAAAGAAGGCCAACCACCGAGAGAGAAACAAGACUAGAGGCAAGUUGAUUGUCGACGUAGGCAAAUUCAAGGGCACUCAGGAGGACCGGGCAGAUGUUGAACUAAGGACUCUCCUCGGAACGCCAACCAAGGGACCCGGUGGCGAAGAAGUCGAGAUGAGCGGAACACUCACCUGGAGGCGAAGACGAGGUGACGCCACGGCAUCCCCCGUCACCCUCAUGAACUCCAGUGCCACCAGUACCCUGAACAGUAGCUACACCGGGAGCCUCCACAACCGGGACGAGAGCUUCACGGACGGGGACGACGAGAUACUGGAAUCCCUAGUAAAAACGGCAACCAAAGCGGCCACCCCUAGACCCACGCAGCGGGAACGGAAACGUACCCGACAGGCGGAUCGAAAGUCGUUUAAGCGAUCAAGAACGCGUGAAGGGUUUACGGUGGAACGCAGCGGGCAUUCGCCGGUUUAGGCGUGGACAUUUAGCUAAUCCGCUCAUCCCACCCCACACUCUCCAUACCUGUACAAUUUAAGAUGACAAUCUAUACCGUAAGACGAACACUGAAGAACGGAUUAUCGGAGGAGGAAAAGCAACACGUGGCCUCGUUGAUAAAAGGAUACUAGAGCCGAAGCCGGA